ACGAACGCUGGCGGCGUGCUUAACACAUGCAAGUCGAACGGAAAGGCCCUGCUUUUGUGGGGUGCUCGAGUGGCGAACGGGUGAGUAACACGUGAGUAACCUGCCCUUGACUUUGGGAUAACUUCAGGAAACUGGGGCUAAUACCGGAUAGGAGCUCCUGCUGCAUGGUUGGGGUUGGAAAGUUUCGGCGGUUGGGGAUGGACUCGCGGCUUAUCAGCUUGUUGGUGGGGUAGUGGCUUACCAAGGCUUUGACGGGUAGCCGGCCUGAGAGGGUGACCGGCCACAUUGGGACUGAGAUGCGGCCCAGACUCCUACGGGAGGCAGCAGUGGGGAAUAUUGCACAAUGGGCGGAAGCCUGAUGCAGCAACGCCGCGUGCGGGAUGACGGCCUUCGGGUUGUAAACCGCUUUCGCCUGUGACGAAGCGUGAGUGACGGUAAUGGGUAAAGAAGCACCGGCUAACUACGUG
This 467-nucleotide ribosomal RNA is filed under the name uncultured bacterium. Its description in RNAcentral is "partial 16S ribosomal RNA". It matches the Rfam family "Bacterial small subunit ribosomal RNA", at positions 29 to 507 of the family's 1533-position model. The record is from RNAcentral.